ACCUUGCGCUCGUGGGAGCCGGCGAUGGUCGGUAUUAGCUAGGUUGGUGGGGUAAAGGCCUACCAAGGCGACGAUCCGUAGCGGGUCUGAGAGGAUGAUCCGCCACACUGGGACUGAGACACGGACCCGACUCCUACGGGAGGCAGCAGUAAGGAAUAUUGGUCAAUGGAGGGAACUCUGAACCAGCCAUGCCGCGUGAAGGAUGACGGCCCUCUGGGUUGUAAACUGCUUUUCUGCGCCAAGAAACCUGUCAACGAGUUGACAGCUGACGGUAGCGCAGGAAUAAGCACCGGCUAACUCCGUG
This 304-nucleotide ribosomal RNA is filed under the name uncultured bacterium. RNAcentral describes it as "bacterial SSU rRNA". It matches the Rfam family "Bacterial small subunit ribosomal RNA", at positions 210 to 507 of the family's 1533-position model. The record is from RNAcentral.